UUGCAGCUUCAAAGUGCACCUGUGGAGCAAUCAGAGUGAUUUGGCCAGGGCUGGUGAGGGCUUGCAAAGUGUGAAUAGAAAAGCUGAACAGAGCGUUUGGGGCCAUGCAGCCUCUGGGUCUGCUGGGCAUACACAAGUGUUGUCUGCCCGGAGGAGACCUGACUUGCUGUAUCCUGAAGCUUUCAGAAAGGCUUUUGCUUGGCAGCCGUGGCACUCUGAAGGCAGAAGCUGAGAGAUGGAUGUGUCCUGCAGAGCUGACGUAGAGAGAUGAGGAAACUCAAGGUCCUGUGACUCGGCCAGCUGAAUACCUAGACCAGUGUCUAUCUGACAACGAAGCUCCCACUUCAGGGAAGCAGAUGGCUUGCAGGCCUGGUAUCUACCUUGCUAAUCACUCAGAGGCUGACAUAUCCUUUGUUCAGUGUUUCAUCUCUAACUGAUCAGCUUAAUCAACGUACUUCCAACUGUUUCCUGUGGUCCUUUGUAAACAAGCAGCAGGAUUUUCUCCAGAAGAUGGAUUAUGCAUUUUACCUUUAGUAGGAGUUCUAAUUUAUCUCUGAGCACUGGUACAUAUUAAAUGUGUCUACCAGAAUGUCAUGGUGGCCUGUUCCUCCUUCCUGUGGGCCUGAUCCAGUAUGGACUCGACUCAUGUAGCUUGAGAUAAAGGAGAGAGGAACUUGAGGAUGGUUGUAUUGGGUCUCUUUCUUUGGGGACAGCUCAGUCCAUGCGGCAGCAAAUAGUGAUAGAGGACAAAAUC
Long non-coding RNA from Pogoniulus pusillus (Red-fronted tinkerbird), 754 nucleotides. RefSeq lists it as uncharacterized. The record is from RefSeq and is a predicted model, not a curated record. NCBI's taxonomy places the organism in Eukaryota, Metazoa, Chordata, Aves, Piciformes, Lybiidae. The transcript has 5 exons.